UUAAAGUUGUUGCAGUUAAAAAGCUCGUAGUUGAACCUUGGGCCUGGCUGGCCGGUCCGCCUCACCGCGUGUACUGGUCCGGCCGGGCCUUUCCUUCUGGGGAACCGCAUGCCCUUCACUGGGCGUGUUGGGGAACCAGGACUUUUACUUUGAAAAAAUUAGAGUGUUCAAAGCAGGCCUUUGCUCGAAUACAUUAGCAUGGAAUAAUA
This 209-nucleotide ribosomal RNA is filed under the name uncultured eukaryote. RNAcentral describes it as "partial 18S ribosomal RNA". It matches the Rfam family "Eukaryotic small subunit ribosomal RNA", at positions 604 to 819 of the family's 1831-position model. The record is from RNAcentral.